Molecule: ribosomal RNA, 528 nt
Filed under: Bradyrhizobium sp.
Lineage: Bacteria; Pseudomonadati; Pseudomonadota; Alphaproteobacteria; Hyphomicrobiales; Nitrobacteraceae
Description: bacterial SSU rRNA
Rfam family: Bacterial small subunit ribosomal RNA
Source: RNAcentral
CUUACGGGGAAAGAUUUAUCGCCGAAAGAUCGGCCCGCGUCUGAUUAGCUAGUUGGUGGGGUAAUGGCCUACCAAGGCGACGAUCAGUAGCUGGUCUGAGAGGAUGAUCAGCCACAUUGGGACUGAGACACGGCCCAAACUCCUACGGGAGGCAGCAGUGGGGAAUAUUGGACAAUGGGGGCAACCCUGAUCCAGCCAUGCCGCGUGAGUGAUGAAGGCCCUAGGGUUGUAAAGCUCUUUUGUGCGGGAAGAUAAUGACGGUACCGCAAGAAUAAGCCCCGGCUAACUUCGUGCCAGCAGCCGCGGUAAUACGAAGGGGGCUAGCGUUGCUCGGAAUCACUGGGCGUAAAGGGUGCGUAGGCGGGUCUUUAAGUCAGGGGUGAAAUCCUGGAGCUCAACUCCAGAACUGCCUUUGAUACUGAAGAUCUUGAGUCCGGAAGAGGUGAGUGGAACUGCGAGUGUAGAGGUGAAAUUCGUAAAUAUUCGCAAGAACACCAGUGGCGAAGGCGGCUCACUGGUCCGGUACUG